Molecule: ribosomal RNA, 240 nt
Filed under: uncultured bacterium
Lineage: Bacteria
Description: partial 16S ribosomal RNA
Rfam family: Bacterial small subunit ribosomal RNA
Source: RNAcentral
GACGAACCGUGCGAACGUUGUUCGGAAUCACUGGGCUUAAAGGGCGCGUAGGCGGACUGCCAAGUCCGGGGUGAAAUCCUCCGGCUUAACCGGAGAAUUGCCUGGGAUACUGGCGGUCUUGAGGGAGGUAGGGGCACGCGGAACUUCCGGUGGAGCGGUGAAAUGCGUUGAGAUCGGAAGGAACGCCCGUGGCGAAAGCGAGGUCCUGGACGUCUACUGACGCUGAGACGCGCAAAGGCU